Molecule: long non-coding RNA, 6089 nt
Organism: Felis catus (domestic cat)
Lineage: Eukaryota; Metazoa; Chordata; Mammalia; Carnivora; Felidae
Exons: 2
Source: RefSeq, a predicted model, not a curated record
UUCGGAUUCUGUGUCUCCCCCUUUCUCUGCCCCCUCCCCUGCUUGCUCUCUGUCUCUUGCUCUCUCAAAAAAAAAAAAAAAAAAAAAAAAAAAUUAAAAAAAUAAAAGUAAUUGGUUAAAAAAAGUUGUAGACAUGACACUUUAUUCUUUAAUACUUUGCACGGUAUUACCUAAGAAUAAAGACUUUCCCCCAUAUUUUCAGAAUACUGUUAUCAUAUCUGUAAGAAUGAUCAAGAAUUCAGUAUCAUCUAAUGAACAGUGUCUUAACAUUCGCCUAGGUUUUCCCCAAAAGUCUUACACUUUUGUUUUGAAUAUCCAUGUCUCAGUCAAGAUUUGAUUAUUGUAUUUUGUUGUCAUGUGUAGUCUUUGUUAAUCUAGAACAUUCUUCCCAGUGAGCUUCAAAGAGAGAGCUUCGAGAGAGAGUGCUCCAGUGAGUCGUGACCCUUGAGCCCCAAACUUCCAACAGAUGUCCACCAGCUGGUCCAGCUCAGGGCAACUGCACUCGGACAUGUCCCGGCAGCUCACGUGGCCCCAGUUCAUUAACCGCCAGGAGCUGGACCAUGUUGUCAGGUGCUUCUUCACAAAUCUUAAACUGGAGCACCGUGCAGCCUUGCUGUACACGUGCUUUGCCCGCUGGUGGAGUUUGAAGAUGAGCACGUCUUGAGUGUUCGGGCUCAGAAUUUGGGUUCAAAGCUCCUGCAGGCUAAUUCCCAGAUACCUGUAGACCUCUUCAGGGCUAUAGGGUUCAAGGUGAAGAACAUCUUCUGUGAUCCUCAGCAUUUCUUCCAGACUCACCCUUAGUUUGGCCUAUACCUCCUCUAGCUGCAGUAUUUUAUCCCAUUUCAAGCCUUUGUACUUAGCCAGGAGCUUGGCCCAAAACUCCCAAUAUGUAGAAUGGUGUACUUGAUGGCUGCUUCACAAGCUACUCUGAAGAUUAAGUUCUUUUAAAAGACUGUGAAUGGGACAGGGGUUGGGGUGGGGAGAGAGAGAGAGAAGGAGAAUCUUAAGCAGGCUCCACACUUAGCAUGGAUCCCACAACCCUGGGAUCAUGACCUGAGCUGGAAUCAAGAGUCAAAUGCUUAACCGACUGAGCCACCCAGGCGCCCCUGGAGUCUAUAUUUUUUAAAGAAGCAACAGUGGUAAUUCUGAUGAUUCUCCCAAGAUUUGGAACCAGACCAUGCCCCAUUUUGCUGUCACUCUCCCCCAACAAACACGUUCCCUAGAUAGGAAUCCUCUGAAAGGUGGUCUACGAGCUCAUGAGUAUCAAGGGAGAACUUUCUUCUAUCGCUUUGGGUCCCCAAGUACCCAAUUUCCUUUAUUAUUGAGCUUCAUAACAUUAAGCUGAAACUGUCCCUGUAACUCACUGAUCAGUGACAGGCCCCAGUGGCCAUCCCAGGCUACACAGAGCUGGCUGGCAUCUGCUUUCAGCUGAUGGUCCUUUAGAGAUAGCAAGCCCAUAAUGCUCAGGCAUUUGUGGAUUUCAGACCCACCACCAUCAUGUUACAUGGCCUUACGGUGUGGCAGCCACGUCUGGGCAAAGCAUCGGAUGCGAUGGUAGCAGUGCUGAAUUCAGUGCUCCCUUGUUAGGGACACUCCACUUCUCUUCCUGUACCGUCGGUCCAUAUGGAACUCGCUCCAGCCACCUGCUUCAGGUCUUUUUCAUGUGGUCUACUGUCACGUCACUUUCCCAUCAUGCACUCAGUCAAGUUUUGGAACACAAAUGUGGGGUUGUGUGCAUGCCGUACUGGGAAAGCAACACUAAGUCGCACAAUGCUGUCACUCCAGGACAGUAAGAGUGCCCACUGAAUCUUCUUGCUGCACACGGCACGGCUGGGCCAGCACUCGGGACACCUGCUGUGUGUAGGGAGGCGAGGCGCACUUGGGUCCUCAUCCCACCUUCCCACCUACCGACUGGGCAGCCUUCUGCAACUGCCCUCAUUUAUCCUUCUAAACCAGGUUCCUGAUCCGAGAACAGGUGGAGGAUGACUGGCAGGAUUGUUUGAGGACUGAAUAGGCUAAUAUGUACCUUGGCAAGCCCUCAAUAAAUGGUAGCCAGUUACUAUGAGUUCUUGUUAUCAGUGACCAUAGACGAUGUUUGUGUCCCCCCCAAAACUCAUUCUUGAAAUCUUAUCCCCAAGUGCAAUGGUAUUAGGAGGUGGAGCCUUUGGAGGGUGAAUAGCUCCGCCCUCACGAAUGGGAUUAAUGACUCCAGAGGGCUCCUUUGCCCCUCUGUCAUGUGAGAACACUACAGAUGAAUGCCAAAGCAGAAAGUGGGCUCUCACCAGACACUGAAUCUGCCAGCACCUUGAUCUUGGACUUCCUAGCCUCCAGAACUGUGAGAAAAAUGCGUUUGUAAACCACCCAGUCUUAAGGAUGCUGUUAUCGCAGCCGGAACCGACCAAGACCGUAACUGAUGAAGGUCAUCCUGUCCUGAGAAGGUGAAGGGCAGAGCCUGACCUUAAUAUGGCGUCAAGCUCUGGACCAGGUGGAAGCAGUUCUGUCUCUCCCCAAUCCUGAGACUGUGUAAUGUGUUGCUAGCAGCUCUUUGAUUAUGUCACUGCUUUGCAGUCUCCAAAGUGCUUUCACAUCGGAACUUACUCAGGGCACCAUUCGAAUAGCUACUCUUCAUCCCAUUUCACAAAUGGGGAAACAGGCUCCAGGAGCGUAUGACUUACGAAGGUUUUCUGGCUCUCGAUCUGAUAGUGUGCCCUCCACCCCACAAGGCUGUUGGAAUUCUUUUAAUUUGCUUUGUAAGUCAGUCAUUCAUGCAUUUACUCAUCUUAGCCCUGUGAGGCCCUGCUAACUUCCUAGAAGCAGACAAAUGAUGCAGUCGGCUCCUUUCUGGGGCCUCCAGAGGGUUCUGCAAAUAGCACAUGCUCGAAAGAUGUUUUGCAGUUAGCAAAACUGCAAAGUUGAGACAAUCCUGCUUGAGUCCCAUGUGCUCGUUGUCUCUGUGGGGGGACCCAGGAAAGGUAGGGACUAGGGUGCGGCUGGUCCCAUUGGGGACCAGUUAGACCAGAUGAGGACAGUGAGGACUGCUGUGGGGAAGGUGGCUCGGAGGAGGCAGGAAGGUACAGGUACUAGUCUCCUGCCAAGGCCCUGGUUCUGUGCUGGCCCGGCCAGAGCGAGCAGAGCGGAGCAGGGGCCUGUGUCUCUGAUAACAUAACACCCCGGGUGCCGAGCACUGCUUCCAGGAGGUUGGGUGUCCGGGGCACUCCCCACAGCACCCUUCUUCAGGCUCUGCAGGGCCUGGUGUCUGGUCUGAGGCAGCCCUCCCUGCUGCAAAGAUGGGAGAAAGGGGGUGGCAGUCAGAGUAUGAGCAGGGGCUUUUGUGUGUUUGGGCCUGGGGAAGCAGAGCUAAAAUUAGGUCUUCCAGCUGUGUGCAGGUGUGGAAUCCCGCCCUUUCCCCUCCCCCGAACCAGGAUCUUGGAAUUAUUUCCAUUUCCUCCCUCCCUCCCCGCCCAGUCCUGGUUCCUCCGCAGGCAUGAGUUGAACUGUCCCGCCUCUCUGGUCAUGGGCCUUUCCACCCAAAUGACCUCUAAGGCUAUGAGCGGAGCGAGGGGAAGGGGCAGGCAGUGGCUUUGACUUUGCUGAGCUUCCCCACCUCCUCCGAGGCCAGGGCACAGCUGGGGCCCAAGGCCACCAGGCAGAACAAAUGUUUUCCUUUCCUACCACCACCUACACCGGGCCCCUGACUUCUCCCCCCGGCCUCCCGCUUCAUGUGCUUUGUGCUCCCCGUCUCUCUGCCCCUCUCUGCCCAUCGCUUCAGAAGGAGCCUUUAAUCCCUUGCCGUCCACUGCCGUCCAUCCAGGCGGCGGGCUCCAGGGCAGUGUGCCGGAGGCAAUGUACAUGAGGCAUGGCGCUCCUCCGGGUGACUGUCCCUCUCACUCCCCCUUCACCGUGGCCCUGGGUCCCUGCCUCACAGGGCUCCAGGCUAAGGCUUAGACCCUUCUGCGCUCUGGUCUAGGGUCAGAGCCUAACUCUGGCUCCUAUGUGUGCUUGCAGUAGGGUUUUAGGUGAGCGGCAUCUCCUCCCUAGAUGGUCUCCGGGGUCCCUCCCUGUUUGGUGUCUGAACUGUCCAGGGUGGAGUACUCCUUCAAGAAAGGCAGCCGGCAGCGGCAGCUUGUGGGAGGCAUGCUGACGGAGGCUGGAGGCUGGAGGCUGCGGCGGAUAAGUGCACUGAGGGGCCUCUGAGGAGGUGUGAAUGAGGGAGGCAGAGCAGGCCGGUGAGGACAGCCCUGUCCCAGCCCUAUCUCCCGUCCCCGACACCCUCUCCACACCCCGGCCCUGAUAAGCAGGUGUGAGCCACGGCAGCCUUGUGACAGGCCCUUCAGCAGGGAGGGGACGGCGGGGUCCACUCCACUUCUGAAUUCAGACGUCAGCAUCUCAUUCCCCCCCACCCCCCACCAUUUCCCUGCCGGACCGGACAGGCCCAACUCCUGAGCGUCCUCCUGACGCUCAGCCCCCUUUGGGCUUUGUGACUCUGUCCCUGCCCGUGAGGCCUCAGCCUCCUCAGGGUGGUAGGGGACAGACCUCCCUCUAUCUUGUGGCUAAGUGCCGAGGAGGAUGGCCACCCCCAGCCAAGCCCGCUCCUGCAGUGACCGUGGUGCUGAGGCCUGGCAACCCCCGUUUACCACGGGGCACGCCUCAAGGCUACUCCUCCCGUGUCUUCUCGUCCCGUCGCCUCCAGUCCCUGUGGCCAUCAGCUUUCAGUCGUGCUCCCUCCACCUUGGCUUUGGGGUCACUGCUCCGUCUGGCCCCAGCCAAUGUUCAGAAGGCCAAGGCCAGAAACCCCUAAUUUCUGCAUUGGUGGGCAUCGGGGCUGGGGGAGCAGGGAAGGCUAGGGGAAGAGGCGCAGGGCUUGGGGCUCUGGGAAAGGGGACAGAAAGGCAAAUAGGACUGAGGAGGGGCCACAGAAAGUCCAGGGCACUCCCUGGACCCCCGAGGAGGGUCUUUGUGCACGCCCCAAACCCAAGGCGCUAAACUGCCUUCUACUUUCUCAAAGGCUCUCUUCUGAGUUCACACCUGAAGGUUAUUUUGAUUCUCAGGUUGUAACCAUUCUGUGCCAGGCAGCCCGUGUGUGUGUGUGUGUGUGUGUGAGUGUGUAAAGGGUGCUUGUUCUCUAACACUGGCUGAGAGCACAGACUCUGGAGCCAGGCGGAUUGGCCUGGUGUAGGAUCCCUGCUCUGCUGUCUUACCAGGUAGGGAGCUUGGGCAAACUGCAUAGCACGCCUUGUAGGACUCUAAGUAUCGAGUUGAUCCACAUAAAGCAUUUGAACAGUGCCCAGGGCAGAGUAAGCGACAUGUAAUUGUUGGCCAUUGUUAUGAUUUAUGUAAAUUUCAUUUUAACAUAAUUUCAAAUUUACAGAAGAGUUGCAGGCCAUUCCCAUAUAUCAUUCGUAUAUUAUUCAUAUUUUGCCCAUUUAUUUUAUUCUCUCUGUGCAUUUGUGUGCAUAUAAUACACUCUACAUUCGACACAUACACACACACACUUUUUUUUUUUUCUGAAUCACCUGAGAGUAAGUUGAAGACACCAUGUCUUUUUAGCCUGAAAUAACUCAGUGUGUAUUGUUUACAAAACCACAAUACAGUUAUCAAAAACAGAAAAUUUAAUACUGCUAUAAUUCUGUUACUAAUCCACAGUCCAUAUUCAAAUUUCAUCCAUUACCUCAAUCACAUCUCCUUUAUGUCUGUUUUUUUUUUUCCUGUUCCAGGGUCACCCACUGCAUUUAGUUGUCCUGUUUCUGUAGCCUGCUUUAAUCUGGCUAAAUUCUUCAGCCUCUCUGUGUUUCGUAAACUUGAAAUUUUUGAAGAGUUCAUGCCGGUUAUUUUGUGGAAUGGUGUUGCUCAAAUUCUGUUGUGCUCUUUCUCCAUUGUUAGUUUUAGGUUAUGCAUUUUGGCAAGAUCACCAUGAAGGUGACUCUGUCUUUCUCAGAGUACCACAUGGGGAGGCUCCCAGUGUCCAACUGCCCAUUUGUUAGAGGUGUUGCCUUUGGUCAUUCGGUUUAUGUGGUAUGCACCAAACUCUCCCUGAGUACAACUGCCGUUUUCUCUUCACAAUUAAAAAGUAACCGUGAGAAAUACUUUUA